CGCGGGAGCAAUCCUGGCGGCGAGUGGCGAACGGGUGAGUAAUACAUCGGAACGUGCCCAAUCGUGGGGGAUAACGCAGCGAAAGCUGUGCUAAUACCGCAUACGAUCUACGGAUGAAAGCAGGGGACCGCAAGGCCUUGCGCGAAUGGAGCGGCCGAUGGCAGAUUAGGUAGUUGGUGAGGUAAAGGCUCACCAAGCCUUCGAUCUGUAGCUGGUCUGAGAGGACGACCAGCCACACUGGGACUGAGACACGGCCCAGACUCCUACGGGAGGCAGCAGUGGGGAAUUUUGGACAAUGGGCGCAAGCCUGAUCCAGCCAUGCCGCGUGCAGGAUGAAGGCCUUCGGG
This 347-nucleotide ribosomal RNA is filed under the name uncultured bacterium. RNAcentral describes it as "bacterial SSU rRNA". It matches the Rfam family "Bacterial small subunit ribosomal RNA", at positions 72 to 422 of the family's 1533-position model. The record is from RNAcentral.